This 402-nucleotide ribosomal RNA is filed under the name uncultured bacterium. RNAcentral describes it as "bacterial SSU rRNA". It matches the Rfam family "Bacterial small subunit ribosomal RNA", at positions 30 to 430 of the family's 1533-position model. The record is from RNAcentral.
AUUGAACGCUGGCGGCAUGCUUUACACAUGCAAGUCGAACGGCAGCACGGGCUUCGGCCUGGUGGCGAGUGGCGAACGGGUGAGUAAUGCAUCGGAACGUGCCCAUGUUGUGGGGGAUAACUACGCGAAAGCGUGGCUAAUACCGCAUACGCCCUGAGGGGGAAAGCGGGGGAUUCUUCGGAACCUCGCGCAAUUGGAGCGGCCGAUGUCAGAUUAGCUUGUUGGUGAGGUAAAGGCUCACCAAGGCGACGAUCUGUAGCGGGUCUGAGAGGAUGAUCCGCCACACUGGGACUGAGACACGGCCCAGACUCCUACGGGAGGCAGCAGUGGGGAAUUUUGGACAAUGGGGGCAACCCUGAUCCAGCCAUGCCGCGUGAGUGAAGAAGGCCUCGGUUGUAAGUA